AUAUGUGAGGGCGAUCUGGCCAAGACAUCUGUCACCUCAUUGACUGCCAGGCUUGAUUCAGCUGAUCUGUUGGCUAGACAGGUGUCCCUUUCCUCCCUCACACUCUAUGUGUGUCCCUCCCUAAUGGGCACUAGGUCUAAGAGGAUGACCUUCCCCAAAAGAGAAGGUCAGGUCUUUAGUAAAGGGCAUAAGAGUAGUUGCACUCCACUGCUAGCACCUACAAACAAGCUCUCAAGGUCCAUGAGUACAUUUAUAUGCAAAGAUGUAAUUGUAAUAAAAGCUACAAUGAAAUUUUGCCUAGAUUAUCAGAAUCUGACAUUUAUU
This is an unclassified non-coding RNA of Erinaceus europaeus (western European hedgehog), 324 nucleotides long. Its record names the gene 7SK. It matches the Rfam family "7SK RNA". From Rfam's summary of the family: 7SK was discovered as an abundant small nuclear RNA in the mid-70s but a possible function has only recently been suggested. The record is from Ensembl. Lineage: Eukaryota; Metazoa; Chordata; Mammalia; Eulipotyphla; Erinaceidae.